Molecule: ribosomal RNA, 498 nt
Filed under: uncultured bacterium
Lineage: Bacteria
Description: partial 16S ribosomal RNA
Rfam family: Bacterial small subunit ribosomal RNA
Source: RNAcentral
ACUCAAAGGAAUUGACGGGGGCCCGCACAAGCAGCGGAGCAUGUUGUUUAAUUCGAAGCAACGCGAAGAACCUUACCAGGGCUUGACAUCCACUGAACCUGCCGGAAACGGUGGGGUGCCGCAAGGAACAGUGAGACAGGUGGUGCAUGGUUGUCGUCAGCUCGUGUCGUGAGAUGUUGGGUUAAGUCCCGCAACGAGCGCAACCCUUACGGUCAGUUACCAGCGCGUUAUGGCGGGGACUCUGACGGGACAGCCGGGGUAACUCGGAGGAAGGUGGGGACGACGUCAAAUCAUCAUGCUCCUUAUGUCCUGGGCUACAAACGUGCUACAAUGGCCGCAACAAAAGGCAGCAAGGGCGCAAGCCGGAGCCAAACCAUGAAAUGCGGUCCCAGUUCAGAUUGAGGGCUGCAACCCGCCCUCAUGAAGAUGGAGUUGCUAGUAAUCGCGAAUCAGCACGUCGCGGUGAAUACGUUCCCGGGCCUUGUACACACCGCCCGU